UACAGGGGGUGCAGACGUUGCUCGGAAUCAUUGGGCGUAAAGCGCGUGUAGGCGGCCCGGUAAGUCCGCUGUGAAAGUCGGGGGCUCAACCCUCGGAUGCCGGUGGAUACUGUCGGGCUCGAGUACGGAAGAGGCGAGUGGAAUUCCUGGUGUAGCGGUGAAAUGCGCAGAUAUCAGGAGGAACACCAAUUGCGAAGGCAGCUCGCUGGGACGUUACUGACGCUGAGACGCGAAAGCGUGGGGAGCAAACAGG
RNAcentral lists this ribosomal RNA (253 nucleotides) under uncultured bacterium. Its description in RNAcentral is "partial 16S ribosomal RNA". It matches the Rfam family "Bacterial small subunit ribosomal RNA", at positions 524 to 776 of the family's 1533-position model. The record is from RNAcentral.